UUUAUUUGACAUCGGUGGAGGAGUAAAAGCAUUGAUCCAAGUGUACUCUUUUGCUGAAAGAGAGCAGGCAAAGAUUUUUGGUAAUAUCAAGCAAGAAAACCCUAACAACAUUUGAAACAAGAUCUUGCUGCAGUGGGUAUACAAUCAUGAAGAUCACUGGCUGGAUGGUUAAGGUGGAAAGCAACACGACCUUUAGCAAGACUCGCAGAGURUGUGUUAGUACUCCUAUCUGUGUCACCCACAGUAUGACCUGGAUUAGUCUUAAAUUCACUGAACUGAAAUCUGUUUGGGGUUGUAAGUCUUAUGCAGGUAACUUGAUCUUCCAAGUAAGGAGUGACAGUGUUUAUAAAGACUGCAGGCUUCUUAAAAAUCAUCUAGGAAAGCAAUUGUCCCCAGUUAUCUGCAGGUGGGAUUUAUAUCCUCAAAUAUCAAGGGAAUGGAAAACUGAGGCAAAGAAGAGGAAUAAGGAGAGACUGUAUAUGCAGAAAAGUUGGCGCAUCUAUAAGGAUGAUAGAGAACAGCAAAGGGCCUAGCACUGGUGUCACUCCAGCGCAAGCAGCAUAAAGAACUUUAGUGUGGACAGUGCAACGAAAAACAGUCGGAUGCCUUGUAAGGAAGCAGUGAUUGACUGAAAUCUUAGUUGCUGCAAAUAAUUACUGCUGUCCCUGCUGCAAAGAGGAGGUGAACAGAGGUGUUGUGUGAUGUAUUUAGUCAAUGCGGRGCAAAAUAUUGGCUGUUGUGGAAAAUUUUGCAUGUUGUUAACACCUCUUCUAAUAUGAAGAGGUUUGGCAACUCUUAGUAAACUMUAUUAGAAGGAUGUUCAAACUUAAUUCUGUGAGCUUUUCAGGUGAAAAUAUUUCAGAUAAACAGUGAGCUGAGUAUAUUGAGAAUCCAAUUCUUCUUGAAGCCUGUUCAUUUAGAACUGCAGAGCCAGCUUGGGAGUGUCUUUCGCUGACAAACCUUUCCCAGUAGCAGAGAAAAU
Molecule: long non-coding RNA, 982 nt
Filed under: Apteryx haastii (Great spotted kiwi)
Lineage: Eukaryota; Metazoa; Chordata; Aves; Apterygiformes; Apterygidae
Description: lncRNA (ENSAHAG00000017731.1)
Source: RNAcentral